CCUACGGGGUGCUGCAGUGAGGAAUAUUGGGCAAUGGGCGCAAGCCUGAACCAGCAACGCCGCGUGAAGGAAGAAGGCUUUAGGGUUGUAAACUUCUUUUAAGAGGGAAGAACAGAAGACGGUAACUCUUGAAUAAGACACGGCUAACUACGUGCCAGCAGCCGAGGUAAUACGUAGGGGGCAAGCGUUGUCCGGAUUUACUGGGUGUAAAGGGCGUGCAGCCGGGAAGACAAGUCAGAUGUGAAAUCACGCGACUCACCCGCGGAACUGCAUUUGAAACUGUUUUUCUUGAGUACCGGCGAGGUCAGCGGAAUGCCUUGUGGAGCGGUGAAAUGCGUAGAUAGAAUGAAGAACACCAGUGGCGAAGGCGGAUGACUGGACGGCAUCUGACGGUGAGGCGCGAAAGCGUGGGGAGCAAACAGGAUUAGAUACCCCUGUAGUC
Molecule: ribosomal RNA, 442 nt
Filed under: uncultured bacterium
Lineage: Bacteria
Description: partial 16S ribosomal RNA
Rfam family: Bacterial small subunit ribosomal RNA
Source: RNAcentral